Long non-coding RNA from Phasianus colchicus (ring-necked pheasant), 420 nucleotides. The record is from Ensembl. NCBI's taxonomy places the organism in Eukaryota, Metazoa, Chordata, Aves, Galliformes, Phasianidae.
AUGCAUGUCCUCAGGAUGAAUAGCAAUUACGCCGCUAAAAACAAGAUCACCACACCUGUACAAGAAAAGACAAGCAAGCCCAAAACAUCUGUUUGCAUCCACCUGCCAAGCACCUGUUCCGCUGUUUCAAUGCCAUUUGAUUGCUGGAGAUGUAGAGGCUCUUGUGAGGCAGGUCGUCACACAGGGAACUGUAUGCAGAAUCCAUCAGCUCCUCAUCAUGAACUCAGUUGUUCUUUGAGACCAUCUCCCAGAGAUGAGGAAGAUGUGUUAAUCCAAACGAAGAGACGCAGCCAAGCUUGGAGCAUCCUCUCUGCUGCUUCCCAAGGUUAUUUUUCAACAUCCACGAGCAAACGGGGACGGCGACUGCAAAUUUCAACACACGGCCGUUGCUAUUUAAUUAAAAUCACUGAAGCUGGCUGA